Molecule: ribosomal RNA, 301 nt
Filed under: uncultured bacterium
Lineage: Bacteria
Description: partial 16S ribosomal RNA
Rfam family: Bacterial small subunit ribosomal RNA
Source: RNAcentral
CAGUAGCCACGGUAAUACGGAGGGAGCUAGCGUUGUUCGGAAUUACUGGGCGUAAUGCGCACGUAGGCGGUUAUUCAAGUCAGAGGUGAAAGCCCGGGGCUCAACCCCGGAACUGCCUUUGAAACUAGAUGACUGGAAUCUUGGAGAGGUCAGUGGAAUUCCGAGUGUAGAGGUGAAAUUCGUAGAUAUUCGGAAGAACACCAGUGGCGAAGGCGACUGACUGGACAAGUAUUGACGCUGAGGUGCGAAAGCGUGGGGAGCAAACAGGAUUAGAUACCCCGGUAGUCCCUGUCUCUUAUAC